GUAGGUGAACCUGCGGAAGGAUCAUUAUUGAAAUAAACCUGAUGGGUUGUUGCUGGCUCUCUAGGGAGCAUGUGCACGCCUUGUCAUCUUUAUAUCUCCACCUGUGCACCUUUUGUAGACCUUGGAUAUUUUUUCAUGGUCUAUGUUGCUUCAUUUACCCCCAAUGUAUGUUAAUAGAAUGUUUGUGCCUAUAAAAUUUAUACAACUUUCAGCAACGGAUCUCUUGGCUCUC
RNAcentral lists this unclassified non-coding RNA (232 nucleotides) under rhizosphere metagenome. RNAcentral describes it as "partial ribosomal RNA internal transcribed spacer region". The record is from RNAcentral.